RNAcentral lists this ribosomal RNA (518 nucleotides) under Lactobacillus delbrueckii subsp. lactis. RNAcentral describes it as "bacterial SSU rRNA". It matches the Rfam family "Bacterial small subunit ribosomal RNA", at positions 1 to 492 of the family's 1533-position model. Lineage: Bacteria; Bacillati; Bacillota; Bacilli; Lactobacillales; Lactobacillaceae. The record is from RNAcentral.
UUGAGAGUUUGAUCCUGGCUCAGGACGAACGCUGGCGGCGUGCCUUAAUACAUCCAAGUCGAGCGAGCUGAAUUCAAAGAUCCCUUCGGGGUGAUUUGUUGGACGCUAGCGGCGGAUGGGUGAGUAACACGUGGGCAAUCUGCCCUAAAGACUGGGAUACCACUUGGAAACAGGUGCUAAUACCGGAUAACAACAUGAAUCGCAUGAUUCAAGUUUGAAAGGCGGCGCAAGCUGUCACUUUAGGAUGAGCCCGCGGCGCAUUAGCUAGUUGGUGGGGUAAAGGCCUACCAAGGCAAUGAUGCGUAGCCGAGUUGAGAGACUGAUCGGCCACAUUGGGACUGAGACACGGCCCAAACUCCUACGGGAGGCAGCAGUAGGGAAUCUUCCACAAUGGACGCAAGUCUGAUGGAGCAACGCCGCGUGAGUGAAGAAGGUCUUCGGAUCGUAAAGCUCUGUUGUUGGUAAGAAGGAUAGAGGCAGUAACUGGUCUUUAUUUGACGGUAAUCAACCAGAAACGG